RNAcentral lists this long non-coding RNA (350 nucleotides) under Elaeis guineensis (African oil palm). RNAcentral's name for it is "long non-coding RNA (EGUI_LNC073263)". The record is from RNAcentral. Lineage: Eukaryota; Viridiplantae; Streptophyta; Magnoliopsida; Arecales; Arecaceae.
GCCCCACUACUCUCCACAACAAAUUUCUCCUGACUCUGGACAGCCCACUGCCAGACGGUUACAGAUGUCACUAUCAGCUUGCCGCCCCCUCUGCCUAUAAAAAGGGGACCUCAGAUACGUUAUUCUAUAAGCUCUCAUUUUUACCUAGAAACUCUGCUAAAAUUUCUGUUCGAGCACUCCAUUCUUGUUGAGGCAGAGAACUGACUUGAGCGUCGGAGGAUCUUGUCGGAGCAACCCCACCUCCAGUUUAGACUUCUUUUGCAGGUUCCGACGGCGACCGCGACUCCAGCUCCUCCGGCGUAGGCGGAUUUUUGCACCAACAGUCAGAAAUGAUGCGCACGCACCCCGGG